RNAcentral lists this small RNA (132 nucleotides) under Klebsiella pneumoniae. Its description in RNAcentral is "RtT sRNA". It matches the Rfam family "RtT RNA". Rfam says of the family: This family represents a bacterial cis-regulatory element known as RtT RNA. The exact function of RtT is unknown although it is thought that it may be involved in changing the cellular response in relation to amino acid starvation. The record is from RNAcentral. Lineage: Bacteria; Pseudomonadati; Pseudomonadota; Gammaproteobacteria; Enterobacterales; Enterobacteriaceae.
UAUUCUGCCCCACGGGGAAGGAUGAGAAGCUUCGAUUAAGGUUCGACUCGAGCGAAGCGAGAGAACGUUGCCGCAGGCAACGGCCCGAAGGGCGAGGCGCUUUAGCGCCGAGUAAUCCUUCCCCCACCACCA